UCCAGCUACAGGUUCAUACUGUUGUAUUCUUUUAUACUGUUAUAUUCGUACCGUUUUAAAUCAUUCAGUAAAUGCAAAGUAAAACGAUCAUACUGUUGUAUUCUUUUAUACUGUUUUAUUCGUACUGUUUUAAAUCAUUCAGUAAAUGCAAAGUUAAACCGAUGUGUUUUUAAUCUAGAUUUAAAAGUGUCUUCUGUUGAAACACAUCUGAUCUCUUUUGAAAGCUGAUUCCAGCUACAGGUUCAUACUGUUGUAUUCUUUUAUACUGUGAUAUUCGUACCGUUUUAAAUCAUUCAGUAAAUGCAAAGUUAAACCGAUAAUACUGUUGUAUUUUUUAUACUGUUUUAUUCGUACUGUUUUAAAUCAUUCAGUAAAUGCAAAGUUAAACCGAUGUGUUUUUAAUCUAGAUCUAAAAGUGUCUUCUGUUGAAACACAUCUGAUCUCUUCUGAAAGCUGAUUCCAGGUACAGGUUAAUACUGUUGUAUUCUUUUAUACAGUUUUAUUCGUACUUUUUUAAAUCAUUCAGUAAAUGCAAAGUUAAACCGAUCAUACUGUUGUAUUCUUUUAUACUGUUUUAUUCGUACUGUUUUAUAUUCUUCAGUAAAUGCAAAGUUAAACCGAUGUGUCUUCAAUCUAGGUUUAAAAGUGCCCACUGUUGGAACACAUCUGAUCUCAUUUGAAAGCUGAUUCCAGCUACAGAUCUAAAAGUGUCUUCUGUUGAAACACAUCUGAUCUCUUCUGAAAGCUGAUUCCAGCUACAGGUUUAAAAGUGCCCACUGUUGAAACACAUCUGAUCUCAUCUGAAAGCUGAUUCCAGCUACAGAUUUUAAAGUGCCUACUGUGGAAACACGUCUGAUCUCAUCUGAAAGCUGAUUCCAGCUACAGGUUUAAACGUGCCCACUGUGGAAACACAUCUGAUCUCAUUUGAAAGCUGAUUCCAGCUACAGAUCUAAAAGUGUCUUCUGUUGAAACACAUCUGAUCUCUUCUGAAAGCUGAUUCCAGCUACAGGUUCAUACUGUUGUAUUCUUUUAUACUGUUUUAUUCGUACUGUUUUAAAUCAUUCAGUAAAUGCAAAGUUAAACCGCUCAUACUGUUGUAUUCUUUUAUACUGUUUUAUUCGUACUGUUUUAUAUUCUUCAGUAAAUGCAAAGUUAAACCGAUGUGUCUUUAAUCUAGGUUUAAAAGUGCCCACUGUUGAAACACAUCUGAUCUCAUUUGGAAGCUGAUUCCAGCUACAGGUUCAUACUGUUGUAUUCUUUUAUACUGUGAUAUUCGUACCGUUUAAAUCAUUCAGUAAAUGCAAAG
Misgurnus anguillicaudatus (oriental weatherfish) is the source of this 1306-nucleotide non-coding RNA. Lineage: Eukaryota; Metazoa; Chordata; Actinopteri; Cypriniformes; Cobitidae. The record is from RefSeq and is a predicted model, not a curated record.